RNAcentral lists this transfer RNA (70 nucleotides) under Marmota monax (woodchuck). RNAcentral's name for it is "tRNA.Ala". Lineage: Eukaryota; Metazoa; Chordata; Mammalia; Rodentia; Sciuridae. The record is from RNAcentral.
GGGGUUGUGGCUAAGUGGUAGAGCUCAACCUAGCAUGAUCAAGGCCCUGGGUUCGAUCCUCAGCACCACA